GGGGGGUUGGGACUGGGUGAUCUCUGAGGUCCCUUCCAACCCAAACCACUCUAUGAUUGAAUGACAUUUUUGUUCUGGAGCAACUUUCUGCAGACGUAAUUUUUUGAUCCCGCAUGUGAUGAAUAUUAGGAGCAACAGUGUGGCUGUGAAGCUGACUGUGGAAGAGCCUCUUAAGAGACAUCUCCUCAAGGCAAGCGGGAGGCCGUAUGCUGUACAAUGCAGCUCUGGGCAAGAGGAUGUCUCUGCAAAGAGAUGGGCCUUUGAGCUGAGGGGUGUUGGAAGAGGUGGCUUGGUAUUUCUGGCAGCUACACACUGCUCCUUGCUUCUCUGGUUGCGAUGGCCUUGUGCUGUGCAACAAGCUCUCCUUCAUGCUCUUCACUCGUAAUAACGUGGUUCUUUGCCUUUCUGAAAACUCAGAAAACUUACCGGCACAAACCCGAUGCUCCUUCCCAUCCCAGUUAUUCGCAAUCGGGAGAGGUAUUCCCAAAUUUUAAGAGAAAAUAUUUUUGUGUUUUCUUAGUUUUGCAGGCAUCCAUGAGUGAAGGACCAGAGUACCUCAAUCUGUCCCUUCAACAAUCCUUCCCCGCUCCAUGUUUUCAAUUGGAAACCGCACCAGUGAGCUCCUAAAUCCAGGCGGCGCCUCUGCAGAAGUGGAGCAAAACCAACAUGAUUCAGCAGAUGAAGCUGUAAAAUAUUCCAACCUUUGAAGUCAAGGCAGUUCAGCCCUGACCAUUCAUGUAUCUCAGAAGUACUAGGAGAUAAACGCGGGAAACAUUACACAGCUCGGUAAAUAUGCGUUCAUCAGAGUACCCGUAAUUGCCAUUGUGUUGGGAUUUUUGCUUUUAUAGAACUACAAACUUGUCUUACAACUGCUAGAAACGCUCUCCCGCUAAUUUUGUAUUUUUCAAGUUCUUCAGAGAUUCUCCAUUUUCUCCAAAGACAGAAAAUCUAUUUUCCUUUCAAACAAAGGAAAUCCAGUGUGGAGUCUUUACCUGAGGAAAGAACCUCUCAAAGAAAAUGUAACACGGCUGGUAAAACCAGUUGCUCUGAAACACUCUGUAUCAGCAAACUGAACAGCUGAUAAGAAUAAUAGAAAUUUUUAGUCAAUGAGAAAAUACUCAUCAGGAACCUCAUCCUACCAGCACAAAAUUUGCUAAUAUUGCCUGGCCUUGCGUUGCUGCCAGAAGUAUGAAUUUGUACUGAAAUCCCACUGUAUGGGAGAAGCACCCCAGCCAAAGUGUAAGAAAUUUCACUGCUAUAAACAGGGCACAUAUGGGGUUUAUGGAGACAUCGGGGUCUGGCUAUUGAUUUGUGCUUUCCUCUGGGUAAUACAUGUCCUAUAAUGCCAUGAGAUUUAUGACCAGGACUUUGAACUCUGGAAUAACUUUUAAAAAGAGGGGGCUGUCUAUAAAAAGUGUGGUUCGGGUUUUAAUCUGUUAUAAUCUAGUGCCGCAAGAAGACUUCGAGAGUUCAUUUAUUUGGCCGUGAAUACUUUUCACACUGAGACUAGGAGGCCACACUCAAAUACCUUCAAAAGUUCAUGCCAGGAUCAGUGAAAUUCAGAGUCACGAAUGACCCAGGGAACAAUCAAUCCUUUGAUUAUAGGAAGUUCCUAUUAAAAUAAUGGAGCACAGAAAGUGCCUUGCUAAAAUGAAUGUGAGUCUCCCAAACCUGUACAUUUGCGCAAAGUGUUGGCUGAGAAAUUUCAGCAAUUCCUUUUAAAAAAAAAAAAAAAAAACAAACAAACAACAAAAAACAAAAAGCAGACAACAUUUUGAUAUCAAGCAGAGUUUUGACAACUGAUUUGGAUAAAUUGAAUUUCUCUUUUAUCCAGAUUUCUUGACCUGUUCUUAAUACCAAUUUCCCUUGGUGCUUGCUUUCUUGAUUAUAGUUGAAAGAAAUUUAUAACAAAUCUAUCUUCUGUUUUCGCUUCUACGUACCUAUAAAUUUCUACUACAUUUAUAUAUUUGUAUCUCCAGACUGAAAAGCAAGAUAAACCUGAAGGCAAACUUAUCGUACCAGAAUAAAACUCUUUACUCCUGGGACUGGCCAAAACAACAAUCUAUGAAAAAUGCAAAACAGCAACAGGUCUUGUUUUUAAACUGUUUCGCAAAAUAUUUUUGUGCUGAGAACCUGAUCACUGAAGAUGCUAAAGUGCUGCUGGCUGCCCUGAAUGCCUCCCAGUCUCUGACUGGGACUGUCCCAGUUGGUGCUCAGCUUCUUGCAGAAGUGGACCCCUUAAGAGUUUGCAUACAACUAACUAAACACUAGAGGCAGGGGCUCGCAUAAAGGAAAUGUCCAGAGGCAAGACUGCAGAGCCAUGAGAAGUCAUCGCCUUCCCAGAGCCCCGAUAAAACCCGACGUUGAAGCUGAGGAUGGUUCUUUGGCCUCCGAGGAUGUCUCCGUCUUCAGAGAAGUUUGCAGAACGUAGCAACGAUCACGUGCGAAUCUGGUUUCUCUUUGGCAAUUAGAAUGGAAGAAAGGUUGAAAGGGUGACUCAACAGAAAAAACAUCACCCUCCACUUGCGGCUCAUCAUGCCCAGCUGUAAAGCGGGGAUUAUAUUUACCUCCAUUGCAAAGUACUCGGUUUCAGAAGACGUUGGUGCGGUUUGCUGAGGCCCCGGCUGGAAAAUACCACAAGAAGUUCAAAGCCCGGUUUCAUCCUGUAAUUGGAUCCUCAAGUCCACAAGUGCAAGAACCAACUGUGCGGGCUGACAGCAGGUCCUCCCCUCUUCCAACAAGAACCCCACCACAACACGGGGCUGUGGGGCUGAGCUGCAAGCGUGGCAUACCCAGGAGCUGCUACUUUCUGCUGCUAUGCACAAAAAAAUGUUGUUUAAAGCUUUUGCCACCCUGUUUGAUCUGACCUGCUGUUAUUUUUUCUUUCUUUUUUUUUUUUUUUUAACUCUAAGACAUCUUCUUAACUCUCAUGCUCACUUGGGAUGCUCUUAAGAACAUGGACUUUAAUCCCAGUGUUACUUAAAUACCAAUUUAAUAUUUGUUUUCUCUCUGCCUUGACAAGAUAUUCCUCAGGUCAAGCAGGCAUGAAAUGAUAGAUAUUGAGUGCAAUUCUUCUGGGCAAGAAGAGCUACCUUCUAAGAUCUUAUCUCAAAACCACUUGGAAAUGUGUUCUUUAUUUAUUUAUGCCAUAAAAUCUCAUUCGAUGUUGAAGGCCCAAAGGAUUACAAUUCUGAAUUGGUUGGUUUGCUGUUUUGUUUUCUUUUUUUUUUCCCCCCGUCCUUGCUGAAAUCUGGCCUUUCAAAAUAACACAGAGAGAAUCUUUGUUUUGAUCUAAAAUAGCAGCUGCAAGGGCUUUUAAAUGACCAUUUAAAUGAGAUUUCUUUUUUUGCAUCUUCGCAUUAUAGUUUCAUUCUCGGUCUCUGAGAUCAGUAGCUGCGGUUGAGCAGCCGAGCCGUCUAAUGGGAAUAAAUUGUAAUAUUGUUCCAA
This is a long non-coding RNA of Tyto alba (common barn owl), 3447 nucleotides long. RefSeq lists it as uncharacterized. The transcript has 4 exons. The record is from RefSeq and is a predicted model, not a curated record. NCBI's taxonomy places the organism in Eukaryota, Metazoa, Chordata, Aves, Strigiformes, Tytonidae.